UCUCCUCUUCCCUAUAAACCAAAUUAAUAAUGAUUGCAGAUACAUCGAUACAGAUUGAGGGUUUAUGAAUAAGAAUGUGAAGCGAUUGCAGGCCACAGAUUUAAAUCCUUCUUAACAUUCUCCAAAGGGAUCUCACAUCCACUUUUCAAACAAAGAUAUAGCAAUAACCAGGAGGAACCUCAGACAUACUCUACGUUGGAAGAUGUAGAAAUCCGUUGAUCGAGCGUUGGAUUAGUGCUUCAUAUUCCACGCUCAUACACAGAGACGUUGAGGAUGUGUGAAAACUAUUAGUUGCCAGACAAAGAGUCGUUGAUGCUAUGUUACAACAUGAAUCAAGACAAAACCAAACGAAGAUUUGGAAGCUUACAAUAGCAGCUGAGGAAAAGUUCGUCUAAGUAUACGGAUUGACGGGAAUCCUGUCACGGGAUGUAUCCGUCGCAAGAAAGUGUACCACAACGUGUAGUAAACAAACUGAGUCGUCACUUUGCAAUUCACGAUUCAUUUCUCGUAUGUCAGCAAUUGGAUACAGUUCAUAAGUGAUUUUACAUCAAUCUUAACAGGUUUAUGUAUUGGACUAUAUAUUCUUAUUUAAAGUAAUUAAUUUAGAAAAUUGAUUGCACAGAGAAGAUUAAGUGAAGGAAAUAAAAACAGAUGUAGAAUUAGAAGAAGGGUUUGGAACAUAGAAACCCUCAAACCUCAAGAGGCAUCAACCCACAUGCUCCAAUUCGAUUAUGCACUCAUCUCAUGG
Molecule: long non-coding RNA, 748 nt
Organism: Camelina sativa (false flax)
Lineage: Eukaryota; Viridiplantae; Streptophyta; Magnoliopsida; Brassicales; Brassicaceae
Source: RefSeq, a predicted model, not a curated record